GGGAAUAUUGCACAAUGGGGGAAACCCUGAUGCAGCAACGCCGCGUGGGUGAAGGAGCGUUUCGGCGCGUAAAGCCCUGUCAGCGGGGAAGAAGAAAGACGGUACCCGACCAAGAAGCCCCGGCUAACUACGUGCCAGCAGCCGCGGUAAUACGUAGGGGGCAAGCGUUAUCCGGAAUCACUGGGUGUAAAGGGAGCGUAGACGGCUGAGCAAGCCUGAAGUGAAAGGCGGGGGCCCAACCCCUGGACUGCUUUGGGAACUGUACGGCUGGAGUGCAGGAGAGGUAAGUGGAAUUCCUAGUGUAGCGGUGAAAUGCGUAGAUAUUAGGAGGAACACCAGUGGCGAAGGCGGCUUACUGGACUGUAACUGACGUUGAGGCUCGAAAGCGUGGGGAGCAAACAG
RNAcentral lists this ribosomal RNA (402 nucleotides) under uncultured bacterium. Its description in RNAcentral is "bacterial SSU rRNA". It matches the Rfam family "Bacterial small subunit ribosomal RNA", at positions 357 to 775 of the family's 1533-position model. The record is from RNAcentral.